This is a small nuclear RNA of Saimiri boliviensis boliviensis (Bolivian squirrel monkey), 141 nucleotides long. Its record names the gene U4. It matches the Rfam family "U4 spliceosomal RNA". From Rfam's summary of the family: U4 small nuclear RNA (U4 snRNA) is a component of the major U2-dependent spliceosome. The structure of U4 snRNA from yeast and human has been reported. The record is from Ensembl. Lineage: Eukaryota; Metazoa; Chordata; Mammalia; Primates; Cebidae.
AGCUUUGUGCAGUGGCAGUAUCGUAGCCGAUGAGGUUUAUCCGACGCGCAAUUAUUGCUAAUUGAAAACUUUUCCCAAUACCCAGCCAUGACGACUUGAAAUGUAGUUGGCAUUGGUAAUUUUUGAGAGUAUCUAUAGAGA